RNAcentral lists this ribosomal RNA (705 nucleotides) under Pseudaphelenchus sp. QH-2022. RNAcentral describes it as "partial large subunit ribosomal RNA". It matches the Rfam family "Eukaryotic large subunit ribosomal RNA", at positions 344 to 964 of the family's 3401-position model. Lineage: Eukaryota; Metazoa; Nematoda; Chromadorea; Rhabditida; Aphelenchoididae. The record is from RNAcentral.
ACAAGUACCGUGAGAGACAGUUGAGAAGCACAUUGCAAAGAGAGUGCAAGACAUCGUGAAGUCAAUAUAAAGUAAGCGAGCGUUAGUGACGCAUUAGUCGUACAUUCAUGUAUGGUCUUCGUAUUGUGGUGCUGUUGUAUGUUGGGUGCGCUGGGCCCAUUGAUAUUGUCGGUCAAAGCUGGCGAGUGUGGUCCAUACUUGUGUGGUUACCUGCAGUAGUGGAUGAGUGGUUGAUGUUGGUGGUGUCAUGGAUUGGCGUUUGUGGCAACGGUUGGACAGGUGUUUGGCUUUUCGGUAGCACAUGUGUUAUCGUUUGGUUUGGCUGGGUUUGCUCGUCGAUCUUCCCGGUGUCUAGUCAGUGAAACGUUUGACCCGUCUUGAAACACGGACCAAGGAGUUUAAAGUAUACGCGAGUCAAAGGGUUAGGAAUCCCCACGGCGUAAUGAAAGUGAGUAGCUUGUGUUAGAUCAGUGUGAUGGAGGGUUCGUCCUUCUCGCAACACUGCCCCAUGCCGUAGUUUCGACUUGGUGUGGAGGUUGAGCGUAUGCUUUGAGACCCGAAAGAUGGUGAACUAUGCUCGAACAGGAUGAAGCCAGGGGAAACCCUGGUGGAGGUCCGAAGCGGUUCUGACGUGCAAAUCGAUCGUCUGAUUUGAGUAUAGGGGCGAAAGACUAAUCGAACUAUCUAGUAGCUGGUUCCUUCCGA